Molecule: non-coding RNA, 1733 nt
Organism: Danio rerio (zebrafish)
Lineage: Eukaryota; Metazoa; Chordata; Actinopteri; Cypriniformes; Danionidae
Source: RefSeq, a predicted model, not a curated record
UCCACAAUAGCUUUUUUAAGCUUUGGUUGUGUUUAUGGGGUGCAAAACAAUGUGGGUUCAUUAUGCAUUUGUAAUAAAUCACGUUAUUUGUUCACAGUUCUUACCUUCAAUUUAUACAGCUACUGAGCUAACAUGGAAACGACCAUCAUAUUUCCUGGUUUGUUCUAUAAAGCCCGCCCUCAAAGGGAUCUGAUUAGUCAGCUAACCUAAUGUGUUUUGGUUGGUGGAUCGGCAUCACGUCACCAGGAAACGUCAUGCCUCUUUUGCAUGCUGUCCGUCAGACUGUAAAUAAUGUCAGUGAAGCCGUAUCAGUUUGAGCCCGAAUCAGACACAGAAAAUGAAGAGGACACAGCUGAACUAAUGCUAACGCGACUUUUGCAAGAUGUUUCGGAAUGGUACGUUUUUGUUUUGUUCAUUGGUAAGAGGAAUGUGGUCAAGCCAUCAGCAUUUCAUAGUAGUACACAGUAACACAGUAAUGGUCAGUUUGUACAAAUUACAUUCCAUACUAGUGUAAAUAGCAAAUGGUACUUUAUAUGGUGGCUGUAAGGUCUCCCUUUCUAAUGGAUAACGUUAGCAGGUAACUACUUUGUUUUUCGUUCACUUUCUGAUGUUUAACCACGCCAUAAAAAUGCGAUCGUAAUAACAUUGUACCAUAGUAAGGCUUAAUUAAAACGCACUUCAGGUAAUUAUAAAAGCUAAAUGUUUAUGCAGAAUAAAUAAAUUAAAAUGAUACUUAUAAAAAACAUGACAUCCCAUACUAGUGUAUAUAGGAAAUAGUACAUUAUAAGAUGGUUGUAAUGUCUCCGUUUGUAAUAGAGAGCAGGUAAAACGAUCUACUUUGUUUUCUCGUUCACUUCUGAGGUUUAACCACGCCAUAAAAAUGCAAUCGUAAUGGCAUUCUAUCGUAAUAAGGCUAGGACAAAUUAAAACGCACUUCAGGUAUUUAUAAAUUAUGGCUAGGCUGAAUAAAUGAAUGAAAAUAAUACUUACAAAAAUGAAAGCACGGACGAACCUAUACUGAAAACAGUGCAGUUUUGUACAUACAUAAUGAAACAUACGUUGCAGAAAAUAUAUUAUAUGUUAUAAUAUAUAUAUAUAUAUAUAUAUAUAAUAUGAAUGAUAUUUUAUUGAGUAAAACGGUCACGAAAUUACCGUAACAGUAAUAUGUGUGCUAAACAAUGAAUAGCUGCGGUCUUCACUGGAUUUCUGAAGUGCUGUUGGCUUGAUAACAUCUUUUUUUCUUCUUUUACAUCUAGUGUCAGUUUCAAAAUAGGUUGUCAUUUGUAAAUGGUAAUAGCAAUAUUUAAUAUUUUGUUUUUAUCCGUUUUGUUGAUGAAUGUUCAAUGUUAUAACAGCAACCAAUAAUUAUGUGGCAACAUAUACAAAAUCAAGCUAAUUUUUUGUUAUGGGAAUACAUUUAAUUUUCUUUAGGUGCACUUGUAAUAACUGUGAAAAAAUGCCAACAGAAGUAGAAAACAUCUGCUGCAAAGAAACACAGAAGGUUGUCCAGCGUAUGAUGCAGGUUCCAGACCCUCCUACUUGCAUGGUGCAGCAUCCUGGUUUUGAACCCAAUUGUUUAAACAUGUACACAUUACAGAAUAUAAAUAAUAUAUACAGGGCAGACUAUGGACCGUUGAGACACAGAAAUGUUGAAGAGCGUUUCCGUUAUCUGUCAUAUCGCAGCUUUGUUAGCUGGUGCUGGGGCUGGCUAGGACGUGAAGUGAGGGUUGUCA